Molecule: ribosomal RNA, 510 nt
Filed under: Glomus sp. Glo8
Lineage: Eukaryota; Fungi; Glomeromycota; Glomeromycetes; Glomerales; Glomeraceae
Description: SSU rRNA
Rfam family: Eukaryotic small subunit ribosomal RNA
Source: RNAcentral
AGCAGCCGCGGUAAUUCCAGCUCCAAUAGCGUAUAUUAAAGUUGUUGCAGUUAAAAAGCUCGUAGUUGAAUUUCGGGGUUAGUAGGUUGGUCAUGCCUCUGGUAUGUACUGGUCUCACUGAUUCCUCCUUCCUGAUGAGCCGUAAUGCCAUUAAUUUGGUGUUGCGGGGAAUUUGGACUGUUACUUUGAAAAAAUUAGAGUGUUUAAAGCAAGCUAACGCUUGAAUACAUUAGCAUGGAAUAAUGAAAUAGGACGUUCGAUCCUAUUUUGUUGGUUUCUAGGAUUGACGUAAUGAUUAAUAGGGAUAGUUGGGGGCAUUAGUAUUCAAUUGUCAGAGGUGAAAUUCUUGGAUUUAUUGAAGACUAACUACUGCGAAAGCAUUUGCCAAGGAUGUUUUCAUUAAUCAAGAACGAAAGUUAGGGGAUCGAAGACGAUCAGAUACCGUCCGUAGUCUUAACCAUAAACUAUGCCGACUAGGGAUCGGAUGAUGUUAAUUUUUUUAAUGACUCA